RNAcentral lists this non-coding RNA (29 nucleotides) under Rattus norvegicus (Norway rat). The record is from RNAcentral. Lineage: Eukaryota; Metazoa; Chordata; Mammalia; Rodentia; Muridae.
UCAUUUCAUUUAUGGGGUGUCUAGUGAUU